Molecule: long non-coding RNA, 907 nt
Filed under: Olea europaea subsp. europaea
Lineage: Eukaryota; Viridiplantae; Streptophyta; Magnoliopsida; Lamiales; Oleaceae
Source: RNAcentral
CACCAAAAACCAAUUGCAAUCAUCGGUGUCCUUGAACAAUUAAUUUCCUAUAGGGGAAAGAGAGGAGUCAGAUAAAAUCUCAACAAACAAGUAGCAAGUAGAGUACAUUCAACAUGAAUACUACAUAAUCAUACUUACAAGUGGAACAAUGUGAAUUUGAAGCCAAUUCUUCUGUAGGCCCGAAUUUCACAUGUAGUACUAUAACUCCUAUCCAUCUUUAAUAACAUAUCAUAUUUGAACUCAUAACAUAAUUGAACGUAAGAAGAUACUCAAAUAACUUUGAUAACUCUUAACUUCGUCCAAUUUUUCUCAAAAAAAUUGCGUGAGCACUAGGGGCAGGAAGAGAUGGCGAAUUGAGUGGUAUAUACUCACACACAUACACUUGGUAUUAGGUUUUAGGGGGAAUAAUUUUUUUUAUAAUCCUAGAAAAUAAUAAUUGCCUUCUAAUUAAAUAUGCACACAUAAUUUUGCAAGCAAGAAUCUCAAAUUUUCCAUAAGUGUAAGUCAAACAAUACGACAAAAAUCCGUACCAGUUUGAUUGAAAGAGCAUUCUAGGCUUAAAUAGAUGACUUAACAAUAAAUUAUAUAACAAGAAUAUAAUUCCCUUAGCCAAAGAAGAUAGUUCUUUUAUUUUUUCCAAAACACCAAAUCUAAGUUACUGUUCCUAGGGCGAAGAAAACUGCAUUUUCAGAAUUUGCAAAUAGGUCCCUCAAAUAUGGACAACAAAACAAUUUUGAACCAAACUUUUGAACUCUUAAAAGUAGGUCCUAGUUUCAAAAUCAACAGUCAAGGCCUAGAAUUGGAGGUUUUACAAUCUUUUCAACUUAAAAUUAAAUUUCGUCCACCUUGGUUGUCGUCAAAAGUUGGGAGAAGUUAAAAGUUUUCAAAGUUCUUUUUCAAAUGAUAA